Molecule: ribosomal RNA, 263 nt
Filed under: uncultured bacterium
Lineage: Bacteria
Description: partial 16S ribosomal RNA
Rfam family: Bacterial small subunit ribosomal RNA
Source: RNAcentral
GUCCACGCUGUAAACGAUGUCGACUUGGAGGUUGUGCCCUUGAGGCGUGGCUUCCGGAGCUAACGCGUUAAGUCGACCGCCUGGGGAGUACGGCCGCAAGGUUAAAACUCAAAUGAAUUGACGGGGGCCCGCACAAGCGGUGGAGCAUGUGGUUUAAUUCGAUGCAACGCGAAGAACCUUACCUACUCUUGACAUCCAGAGAAUUUGCUAGAGAUAGCUUAGUGCCUUCGGGAACUCUGAGACAGGUGCUGCAUGGCUGUCGU